UGGGGAAUAUUGCGCAAUGGACGAAAGUCUGACGCAGCCACGCCGCGUGAGUGAGGAAGGCCUUCGGGUUGUAAAGCUCUGUCGCCUGGGAAAAACGGCUAUCCGGGGAAAGUUCGGGUAGCGUGAUGGUACCAGGAAAGGAAGCACCGGCAAACUCCGUGCCAGCAGCCGCGGUAAUACAGAGGGUGCAAGCGUUGUUCGGAAUUACUGGGCGUAAAGCGUGCGUAGUCGGUAUUGAGAGUCGCGGGUGAAAUCCCAGGGCUUAACCCUGGAACUGCCUGCGAGACCUCAGUACUAGAGUGUGAGAGGGGAUAGUGGAAUACCCAGUGUAGCGGUGAAAUGCGUAGAGAUUGGGUGGAACACCGGUGGCGAAGGCGGCUAUCUGGCUCACAACUGACGAUCAGGCACGAAAGCGUGGGGAGCAAACAGGAUUAGAUACCCUCGUAGUCCCUGAGCGGGCUGGCAAGGCGCAU
RNAcentral lists this ribosomal RNA (473 nucleotides) under uncultured bacterium. RNAcentral describes it as "bacterial SSU rRNA". It matches the Rfam family "Bacterial small subunit ribosomal RNA", at positions 355 to 825 of the family's 1533-position model. The record is from RNAcentral.